Molecule: RNA transcript, 3672 nt
Organism: Spinacia oleracea (spinach)
Lineage: Eukaryota; Viridiplantae; Streptophyta; Magnoliopsida; Caryophyllales; Amaranthaceae
Exons: 28
Source: RefSeq, a predicted model, not a curated record
AAUCAAAAUUAACGUAGUACUCGUACGACUCGUACCUAUUUGCAGAAUCUUGAUUUCUGUUGAAUUGGGUGUUAAAUUGGUUUUCAGAGAAGAGAGAGAGCAAGAGAAUGGAUGACAUAGUGGUGCAGCGUGUGUUUGAAGAAGGAGGUCGGGAUUAUAUUCAGCAACCGUCCACUUCUUCUUCCUCUUCUUCGAUUCUUCAAUCUCUCCCUCUUCAUGUGUCUUUUGACCAUGGAUGUUAUUUGCUGAUAAAAUCAAUUCAAGAACUUCGAGGAAAGAGUAAAGGUCUGGUGACUGUGGGAAUUGGAGGUCCGAAUGGCUCGGGAAAAACUAGCUUGGCAGAAAAGGUGACAUCUGUAAUGGGAUGUACUGUUAUCUUGAUGGAGAACUAUCGGAAGGGAGCUGAAGAAUCAAAUGAUUUGGAUUCUAUAGACUUUGAAGCAUUAGUCAGUAAUCUGGAGGAUUUGAUGAAAGGGAGAGAUACUGCAGUACCAAUAUUUGAUUUCCAAGAAAAACAGCGUGUUGGCUCAACAAUUAUAAAGGGGACCUCAUCUGGAGUUGUGAUUGUUGAUGGUACCUAUGCAUUGCACGCUAAAUUGCGGUCAUUGCUGGACAUUCGGGUUGCAGUGCAGGUUGGUGGUGUUCAUUUUAGUCUUCUUUCCAAGGUUCGAUAUGAUAUCGGAGAUUCUUGUUCCCUGGAUAAUCUCAUUGAUAGCAUAUUUCCAUUGUUUAGAAAGCACAUCGAGCCAGAUCUUCAUCAUGCACAGAUCAGAAUCAACAAUAGUUUUGUUUCAUCUUUUAGAGAGGCAAUCUACAAGCUGAAAUGUAAAACCAAGUCACCCAAUGCACAUUCUGAUUACACGCUGAGCGGACAGGAGGUGCAAACAGAUAAUUUUAUUGAGAUGUACCUUCGACCCCCUUCAGCAAAUGAAGAAGCUCGUAUAAAUGAUUGGAUCAAAGUGCGUCAAUCUGGAAUCCGUUAUUAUCUUUCACUUGGUGAUCAGAGAAUUGUUGACAAACAUUUUAUCAUCCGCCCUAAGGCAGAAUUUGAGGUUGGGAAGAUGACACUUGGUGGUUUGCUUCAACUAGGUUAUAACGUUGUUGUCAGUUACAAAAGGGUAUCAUUGACUUUCAACUUUGAAGAAGUUACACUGGCUUUUGAAACAAUUGACUCUCUUGGUGAGACAUUUAUGGUGGUGAGGGGUAGUAAUCGAAAGACCGUUGGGGCUGAAUCGUUGAGAAUGGGUGUUUUUGGACCUUGGAUAACAAAAUCAUAUUUAGAGCUAAUCCUUGAGCAAAAUGGAGUGCCACGCCUUAAUACACCACCACCCUUAGGUAGUACCUCAACAGCACUUAAUCAGGAAAGGGUCAUUUCUGCACCACAGCCUAUUCGCAUAACUCCAGACUUUGUUAGUCAGCUUGAAGAUCUGUCUCAACCGUGGACUCGGUCACCAACCAAGUCUAAGAUGGAACCUGUCUUAGCAACAUGGCAUUUCAUCUCAACAGUUCCAUUAGGUGCUGAUGCUUCUGCUUUAGAUCUCUCUUCUUUCAGGGACAAUAUGCAGCUUGCUCCAAUGCCCGAUUCAUAUGACUUUGAUCGAGGAUUGCUACUUGCUGUUCAAGCUAUACAGGCUUUGCUAGAGAGUAAAGGUCUUCCAAUCUUAGUGGGAAUUGGUGGUCCAAGUGGCUCUGGAAAAACAAGUUUGGCUCACAAAAUGGCCAACAUAAUAGGCUGUGAGGUUGUUUCCCUUGAGAGCUACUACAAGUCUGAGCAUAUAAAGGACUAUAAAUAUGAUGACUUCAGCUCACUUGAUCUUUCUUUGCUCUCAAAGAAUAUCAAUGACAUAAGGAAGAGCAGGAGAGCUAAAAUACCCAUUUUCGAUUUGGAGAGUGGUUUCCGAACCGGCUCCAAGGAUUUAGAAGUUUCUGAAGAUUGUGGGGUGGUUAUCUUUGAAGGGGUUUAUGCUCUGCAUCCUGAUAUUAGAAGGUCACUGGACUUGUGGAUUGCUGUUGUGGGAGGUGUUCAUUCACAUCUAAUUUCUAGAGUUCAAAGGGACAAGAGCAGAGUUGGCUGUAUAUUGUCUCAAAAUGAAGUUAUGAUGGCAGUGUUUCCCAUGUUCCAGCAGCAUAUUGAACCUCAUCUUGUUCAUGCACAUCUCAAAAUUAGAAACGACUUUGAUCCUGUUUUAUCCCCCGAAAGCUCAUUGUUUGUGUUGAAAAGUAACAAACAAGUGGCUUAUCAAGAUAUAUUGAAGAUUCUAGACUCUACUAAGGUCUGCAGCUCUGUACAGAACUUUAUCGACAUAUAUCUUAGGCUUCCUGGAAUACCUUCUAAUGGCCACUUAACGGAAAGUGAUUGUAUACGUGUUAGAAUAUGCGAGGGAAGAUUUGCAUUGCUGAUACGAGAGCCAAUACGAGAAGGCAACUUCAUCAUCCAACCUAAAGUUGAUUUUGAUAUCAGUAGUAGCACCGUGGUUGGGCUUCUUAACCUUGGGUAUCAAGCUGUUGCGUAUAUAGAAGCUUCGGCAUUCAUAUACCAAGAUGGAAAGAUUCUUGUUGAAGUUGAUAAUCUGCAAGACGUGCCAUGUCCCUACAUACAAAUUAAAGGAGUUGAUAAGGAUGCUGUAGUGACUACAGGAUCAAUGCUAAGGCUUGACGGUUCAUACACCACUAAGAGUUAUCUGCAAAUAAUAUUGGAGAGCUUACCAACCCUGGAAAUAAACUCCAGUGGAGUCCACACUCAGCAAGCUGCAAGAUUGCAGGAGCUUGUGGAACUUAUUCAGUCUCAGGGGAGUAGCUCAGCUUCAGAAUCCUCUCCAGGUAGAGAAGGUUUAGCAAUUGACAAUGCAAUAAUUGAAGAUUUGCAGUGCAGAAUCAAGAGGCUUGAACGGUGGCAAACUAUCAAUACUGUAUUAUGGACUUUCUUGAUGUCAGCCCUCAUCGGAUAUUCACUUUAUCAAAGACGCCGUCGGGUUGGGACUAGUUUUCUUGUGGUAUGGUGUCUACGUGUUUAAAUCUGAUAGGUAUCCUGCAUAACUUAAGAAGCGCGAGAGGUUGAUAGGUAUCCUGCAUAACUUCAGUGGUUUCUGGAACACGAAAUCUGUUUACUUUAUAUUGGAGAACCCGGAGUUAUUGAUUGUGAACCUAUUGCAGAAGGCGAUUACCCCAGAAUGGUCUGACAUACUAUUAGAAUUAGUCUACGAAAUUCAAAGCUGGUCUGUGUUAGCAGUGUGGAAGUGAUUCCUGGAGAAAUAACAUGCUCAGAGCCUCAUGCUCAGGAGUCAGGAUAACUCCCCCGGCAAGCAGAAUGGAGUGUUUAUUAUUUAUGAUUUCUGCCUUAAUCAGCCCUUUUAACUGCGUUUUUUGUGAGCAAUUCUUUUGUGAGCGCAGUCAACUCAAUUUCUACAUCUCUAUGCCGAUUUCCAUCCUAUCUCCCUCUCUUGAGUGAACGUGCACCAAGAAUGUACGACUUAUACUCAAGUAUCUAAAGUAGUAGAACGAAGUCAACAUAACAUACCAAUAGCAAAGGCCAAUACUUUCCCGUCCCUAAAUCCUGCAUUUACAUGGUUUUUAAUGUUUGAUUGAUUGAAGUUGAUGAAAAGGUAAAGUUAUUGGACCAUAUAUGUAGUUGAUGGAUCAAAGCAAUAGGAUAACAUGUGUGUAUUAAGGAAA